Oncorhynchus keta (chum salmon) is the source of this 1502-nucleotide long non-coding RNA. RefSeq lists it as uncharacterized. The record is from RefSeq and is a predicted model, not a curated record. The transcript is spliced from 4 exons. NCBI's taxonomy places the organism in Eukaryota, Metazoa, Chordata, Actinopteri, Salmoniformes, Salmonidae.
UUUCCGUGUGGGUGUUUGUUGCCACACGGUACUGGUUCGGUUUGGUUAUUUCACGUAUUCGUUUAUUGUUUUUGUAUUUCAAAGUGUUAGGUGCUUUUCUUAUUAAAAUCGUCAUGAACACUUACCACACCGCAUCUUGGUCCGAUCCUUACUCCUCUUCAGACGAAGAGGAGGAAAUCUGCCGUUACAGGAGCUCCACCAACGCUACCAGCUGAAACAAACGUUCUAUUUAAAUGAGGCGCUACAGAGCUGUGGAGGGGCUUUGAAGAAAUGUGCUCGGCACAAACAAGUAUGAAUGUGCAGACCAUGUUACUGGAACACCCCUCCACUCAAUAUUUACAAAAGCCACCAGACUGUCUCCCAUGUUCUCUGUAAAGGGAAAAUUGUUCAUGGCUUUUUCAGACUUUUGCCUCGGUUGACUAUAAACCUGUCUUGGCUUUAGCUGUAAUGCCACCCAGCUUGUUUUGAGUCCUUCAAUAAAUUCUGAUUUUGAUGUCCUGAAGUGAGAGGUAGUCUGCUAAAUCACCUCUGAGUAUGAACCGCCUAAGUCAAGGUGCCUUAUGGGAAAUGGAAAGAGCUUGUGGAGAACUCACAGCAGCGUCUCACAGUAAGAAAGGUCAGGAUGUUAUUCAGGCCAUAGGAGCACCUUAUCCAUUUCUCACUCACUCUAGUCUAGCUCCAUAAUGAUGCAUCCCUGGUGGGCUGCAUGAGUACUCGUUAGAGCAGGGCUGGGCAAACUUUUUGGCUUGAGGGCCACAGUGGGAUUUUGAAAUUCAACAUUCUUUGGGGACCGAUUUGUUUGUCAAAAUCAAUUUGCAGGCCAGAUAAAGGGCAGUUAUUUUUUUAAAUAUAUAGGUCCAUAAUUUCACAUAGUUUCUAUGAUAUAAGCAUGUGCAUUACGAUGGGAAGCAAUCAGGAACACAGGCUGGUCGACACCCACACAGGAGAUGUGCACUGCGAGGGACACUCCCUGUCACUGAGCAUUGAGCCAAUAGGAGUGGGAGCCUGCAGGUAACACUAAUACAGCUUAUUUGUACACAUUUAUGUUGGGUAAGUGGAACAAGGCAAAGAAUGGUGGCUAGAUUAAAAAGCCCUGAAUGACAGCGCUCGAGUGGUGUUGGAUUGAGAGGGAGCCUGGCAGGCUCUGAACGCCUGGGCCUCCAGGCAGAUGGUGAAGGCUGGGAUUACAUAACACCAGGUACAGCCAUAUGUCUCCAACACACGCAAACUACUUCAGGAAACCAUAGGUUUCACUCCCACUGCAGCCCAACUGAGACCAAAGGCCAGGUUUGAUGCACCCUGAUCCCAGACCAGGUGUUCAGCAAGUUGUUUCCUCAUGCUGUCAUAGUGAAGGCUGGCAGGAAGACAGACAAUGCUCCAGUGUAUGGAGAAGUCAAUGACCAUGACCACAAAGCAUUACAUCCAGGUGGAUAUUGUACAGGUGCUGUUUUGUACUGUGUUGAUGAAGUCUGGUGUACUGUAUAAACAAAUGGUGCAUAUUU